RNAcentral lists this unclassified non-coding RNA (630 nucleotides) under Hevea brasiliensis (rubber tree). Lineage: Eukaryota; Viridiplantae; Streptophyta; Magnoliopsida; Malpighiales; Euphorbiaceae. The record is from RNAcentral.
AAAAAAAAAAAAAAAAAAAUAAAUCCCAACCAACUAAAUAAUAUAUCAACUCCCAAUGGUUCAAAGGUUAUCAAUAGCAUGUACACAAAAUGCUAGGAGUCAACUUAUUCAUAAAAAUAAGGAAUUCUCUCCUUUUCAGUCCCCGUGAGAACUAACCUGAAACUACCUGAGUAUAUGUUACAACAGAAAUUGAUAUAGAACAGGAUCCUAGACUCAAUCCACGUUUGCAAGACUCUUACUGAAAAGCCAUCUCUGCUGUCUACCACAACAGGCCAAUAUGUUUUAGCAUUAUUAUGGCUCAAAUGACCCCACAUACGCAUAGAUGUAGCAUUACUUGUGUCAUGGCUCAAACACAGAUUUGUAUUAUUCAUUUCGUGUCAUCCACCUAGCCACCUCAUCCUUCAACAAUACCCCUGUAGUUGUGAUCCAGGAUGUGCAUUAUUUUGUUAUAACUGAAUAAUCGAAAUAAACAGAUGACAUUUGAUUAUUUUAAGAAAAAUUGAUUUUUAGUUAUCUGUUUGUUUACCCUUGGUUUAGCAAAUGAACUAACCGAAUUUUUAUUAAUUAAUGUAUAAAUUAUUAUUUUAUUAAUAAUAUAUCAUUUAUAAUUAUAAUUUUUCAUAAUUUGUU